GGGAGUGCCGGGUGUGAGGGUGUGACAUCUGUCAGCCCAUUGAUUGCCAGGGUUGAUUCGGCUGAUCUGGCUGGCUAUGCGGGUGUCCCCUUCCUCCCUCACAGCUCCAUGUGCAUCCUUACCGAAGCUGCAAGCUCGGAUAAAGAGGACAACCUUCCCGAUAGAAGGAGGACCAUCCUUCGGUCAAGGGUAUACUAGUAGCUGCGCUCCCCUGCUAGAACCUCUAAACAAGUCUCAAGGUCUGAGUAGGGGCGUGCUGGUGAUAAGCUGACAUUCU
Molecule: small nuclear RNA, 277 nt
Filed under: Echinops telfairi (small Madagascar hedgehog)
Lineage: Eukaryota; Metazoa; Chordata; Mammalia; Afrosoricida; Tenrecidae
Description: 7SK RNA (ENSETEG00000020972.1)
Rfam family: 7SK RNA
About the family: 7SK was discovered as an abundant small nuclear RNA in the mid-70s but a possible function has only recently been suggested.
Source: RNAcentral